ACGGGAAUAUCACGUAGAAACACCGGUUCUCGUCCGAUCACCGAAGUUAAGCUAUGCCGUGCUUGGUCACUACCUAGAUGGGUGACAAUUUGGGAGUACCAGGUGCUGUAA
Acanthosepion pharaonis is the source of this 111-nucleotide non-coding RNA. The record is from the annotation of a GenBank genome assembly. Lineage: Eukaryota; Metazoa; Mollusca; Cephalopoda; Sepiida; Sepiidae.